This 125-nucleotide microRNA precursor is filed under the name Hordeum vulgare. RNAcentral describes it as "microRNA MIR1122". It matches the Rfam family "MIR1120/MIR1122 microRNA precursor family". The record is from RNAcentral. Lineage: Eukaryota; Viridiplantae; Streptophyta; Magnoliopsida; Poales; Poaceae.
AAAGUACUCUCUCCGUUCGAAAAUACUUGUCAUAGAAAUGAAUGUAUCUAGAUGUAUUUUAGUUCUAGAUACAUUUAUUUUCGUACAUGUACGCGACAAGUAAUUCUAGAUGGAGGAAGUAUAUA